AACGCACAUUGCGCCCUUUGGUAUUCCGAAGGGCAUGCCUGUUCGAGCGUCAUUAUAACCACUCAAGCCUGGCUUGGUAUUGGAGUUCGCUAUCGGCGGCUCCUAAAAUCAGUGGCGGUGCCUGUAGGCUCUACGCGUAGUAAUACUUCUCGCUAUAGGGUCCUGCGGGUGACUUGCCAACAACCCUAAUUUUUUCAGGUUGACCUCGGAUCAGGUAGGGAUACCCGCUGAACUUAA
This 237-nucleotide unclassified non-coding RNA is filed under the name uncultured fungus. RNAcentral's name for it is "sequence contains ITS2". The stretch from base 1 to 52 matches the Rfam family "5.8S ribosomal RNA", at positions 103 to 154 of the family's 154-position model. The record is from RNAcentral. Lineage: Eukaryota; Fungi.